CCAUGCCGCGUGUGUGAAGAAGGCCUUCGGGUUGUAAAGCACUUUCAGUCGUGAGGAAGGUGGUAGUGUUAAUAGCGCUAUCAUUUGACGUUAGCGACAGAAGAAGCACCGGCUAACUCCGUGCCAGCAGCCGCGGUAAUACGGAGGGUGCGAGCGUUAAUCGGAAUUACUGGGCGUAAAGCGCAUGCAGGUGGUUUGUUAAGUCAGAUGUGAAAGCCCGGGGCUCAACCUCGGAAUUGCAUUUGAAACUGGCAGACUAGAGUACUGUAGAGGGGGGUAGAAUUUCAGGUGUAGCGGUGAAAUGCGUAGAGAUCUGAAGGAAUACCGGUGGCGAAGGCGGCCCCCUGGACAGAUACUGACACUCAGAUGCGAAAGCGUGGGGAGCAAACAGGAUUAGAUACCCUGGUAGUCCACGCCGUAAACGAUGUCUACUUGGAGGUUGUGGCCUUGAGCCGUGGCUUUCGGAGCUAACGCGUUAAGUAGACCGCCUGGGGAGUACGGUCGCAAGAUUAAAACUCAAAUGAAUUGACGGGGGCCCGCACAAGCGGUGGAGCAUGUGGUUUAAUUCGAUGCAACGCGAAGAACCUUACCUACUCUUGACAUCCAGAGAACUUUCCAGAGAUGGAUUGGUGCCUUCGGGAACUCUGAGACAGGUGCUGCAUGGCUGUCGUCAGCUCGUGUUGUGAAAUGUUGGGUUAAGUCCCGCAACGAGCGCAACCCUUAUCCUUGUUUGCCAGCGAGUAAUGUCGGGAACUCCAGGGAGACUGCCGGUGAUAAACCGGAGGAAGGUGGGGACGACGUCAAGUCAUCAUGGCCCUUACGAGUAGGGCUACACACGUGCUACAAUGGCGCAUACAGAGGGCAGCCAACUUGCGAAAGUGAGCGAAUCCCAAAAAGUGCGUCGUAGUCCGGAUUGGAGUCUGCAACUCGACUCCAUGAAGUCGGAAUCGCUAGUAAUCGUGGAUCAGAAUGCCACGGUGAAUACGUUCCCGGGCCUUGUACACACCGCCCGUCACACCAUGGGAGUGGGCUGCAAAAGAAGUAGGUAGUUUAACCUUCGGGGGGACGCUUACCACUUUGUGGUUCAUGACUGGGGUGAAGUCGUAACAAGGUAGCGCUAGGGGAACCUGGCGCUGGAUCACCUCCUUAAACGAUGAU
This 1158-nucleotide ribosomal RNA is filed under the name Vibrio parahaemolyticus. RNAcentral describes it as "bacterial SSU rRNA". It matches the Rfam family "Bacterial small subunit ribosomal RNA", at positions 392 to 1533 of the family's 1533-position model. Lineage: Bacteria; Pseudomonadati; Pseudomonadota; Gammaproteobacteria; Vibrionales; Vibrionaceae. The record is from RNAcentral.